This 241-nucleotide long non-coding RNA is filed under the name Bos taurus (domestic cattle). Its description in RNAcentral is "long non-coding RNA NONBTAT018938". The record is from RNAcentral. Lineage: Eukaryota; Metazoa; Chordata; Mammalia; Artiodactyla; Bovidae.
AAUGUCAUCAAAUCCAAACAGGUAGCAGUAACAAUACAGGAAACUAACGUCAUUUUAAAACAGGUGCUUAUGUGAUCCUUAAGUUUUUUUCCUAUCUUGUAAAUAAGAUAUUGUAGUUAAAUAUUGUAUUUGUAUAGAAAGCUAUACCACUACUACACAAAUGCUGUGCGUCUGUCAAUUAUUUUUCAUCAUCUGUGACAUGUCUAUUAUAUAUGAUUAAAAAAUAGAAAUUCAUAUUUAC